Molecule: non-coding RNA, 29 nt
Filed under: Homo sapiens (human)
Lineage: Eukaryota; Metazoa; Chordata; Mammalia; Primates; Hominidae
Source: RNAcentral
UCCUGGAGAACAUCUAGAUGGACCGUCCC